GGUGAGGCGCUCGAGGCUGCGGAACGUCGUGUUGUCCCGCGAGGCGGAGCCUCCCCUCCCGGCCGCGUUCCGGGCCACGGGGGAGCGCGGGGACGACCUGCUGUUCUCGGCGCCUCCCGAGUGGUGGAGCCUCUGCGCGGGGGACGGGCGCCCGCUGCCGCCACUGCUGCCGGAGACCCACCGGCGGUUCUGGUCACUGCAGUCCCCCGAAGAGGUCGGCCGGGUGGACGGAGCUGCGGGCAUUUUCGACGAGCUCCCUCCCCGGGACAAGAUGCGCGUUUUCUCUGAUGAGUCGGCAACCUGGCGAGAACAAUGGUCACAUUAGCGGGGUCACUCAGAAGAAAGGGAGCGACAAUAGUGGAAAUAUGAGACGAACUCCGGCGGGUAAGAUUUGCACAGAAUCUGUUUAAGACAAUGUUAGUUCAAACAGUGUCUGCAACAGCUACCAUGACAGGAUUACAAUGUUCGUGUUGGCAAAAAGAAGUACCUCUGCCGAGGGCAGCGUAAGGUUGAAUAUGGAAUGAAUAAACUCACCAGUUGAUCAGCAAGCAUAAGCACCGUUUUCAUAGAAAAUUUCCUGUUGCAGGAAUUAAACAAAUCUUCCAAGCUUGGGCCAAGAAGAUCGAUCACCAUAACAUUGUACUCCCCCUCAACACCAUACCACUUGAGGUGUGGGAUACCGUCUGUGUCAAAAAUGAGUGACUAAAUAAGCAACCAGAAGGCGUGGACACAAAUUACUGCAAAUAAUCAUAUAAAUUACAAUCGACUUACUUC
Long non-coding RNA from Zea mays, 774 nucleotides. RefSeq lists it as uncharacterized. The record is from RefSeq and is a predicted model, not a curated record. The transcript has 4 exons. NCBI's taxonomy places the organism in Eukaryota, Viridiplantae, Streptophyta, Magnoliopsida, Poales, Poaceae.